RNAcentral lists this ribosomal RNA (229 nucleotides) under uncultured bacterium. Its description in RNAcentral is "partial 16S ribosomal RNA". It matches the Rfam family "Bacterial small subunit ribosomal RNA", at positions 568 to 796 of the family's 1533-position model. The record is from RNAcentral.
CACGUAGGCGGAAAAUCAAGUGCUUUGUGAAAUCCCUCGGCUCAACCGAGGAAUUGCUCGGCAUACUGAUUUUCUUGAGGCAGGCAGGGGUGCAUGGAACUCUGGGUGGAGCGGUGAAAUGCGUAGAUAUCCAGAGGAACGCCAAUGGUGAAGACAGUGCACUGGGCCUGAACGGACGCUGAGGUGCGAAAGCGUGGGUAGCGAACAGGAUUAGAUACCCUGGUAGUCC